RNAcentral lists this long non-coding RNA (463 nucleotides) under Gallus gallus (chicken). Lineage: Eukaryota; Metazoa; Chordata; Aves; Galliformes; Phasianidae. The record is from RNAcentral.
AUUGGGUCCUGAAUGAUGCGGAGAGAAUUAUUAUAGUGAGCAAACACCUCUGAAGAGAGGAACAGCACAAGGAACAGCCCUGCAGUACAACUGACCUGUUUUUCCAGGCUGAUUUCUGUUUGGCAGUUUUACAUUUAAGAGAGUUCCCACCGGAAGAAUUGCAAAUGUGUAGCAGACAGAAUGACUCUCACACUCACAGGUGGGAUGGGGAAUACGAUUUAUUUAGAUGCAGUGUGAACUGGUCAGGUAGCAAAAUUGUCCAUGGAAAUCUCUGGUGCUGCCUGUGACUAUUAAUAAUUUUUCCUUAUUGGCAUCAGCCCCUCAGUUUUUUGUCUCCCCUUGGUGAGGAGGAGAAAUAUUGGCCUCGUAAAGGAUUUCUUCCAGUUUGAAUUUUGUGCCAGUACAUAGUUUAUUACCAACAGUAUGCUUUUUCACACGGGCAGCAUGUAACACAGGAGCAAGC